GCUCAAACUAAUCUUUAUAUAUAGAGAGAGGGAGAACAAGCAUCCAGAGUCUAGACACAAUAGCAUUCCUUCUCUUAUGCGUUUCUCUCUUGCACGAUUAGUUCCUCCAUGGUGACAAAGUUGUAAUUUGAAAAAUAGCAUUGGUGGAUAUGAUCUUUCAUUUUCCAACUUCGUCUUAUUGACUGUCUGAGAGCAAUGAGGUCUCACUGAAAUUUGUCUACUUACUUUUGUGAUGUGGAGCAGUUGCAUUUUUUUGGAGAUUGCUUGUUGGAUGAUCUCUGGUGAAAGACAGGCUUCUCGAAUAAGAAGUCUCUAUCUAAAAGCUAUUUUGCAGCAAGAUAUUGCUUUCUAUGAUAAGGAAAGAAAUACAGAGAGGUGGUUGGGCAGAUGUCUGGUGACACUCUUCUUAUACAAGGAGCAAUAGGUGAAAAGGCUGCAUCAUUUACAGAUGAGAAGCAAGCUGCGGCCAGCUAUAACGAGUCCCUUAUUAAAGCUUACCAUUCAGGUUCAAAUGAAGGGCUGACAAAUGGAUUAGGUCUUGGGUCACUUUCUGAUAUUAUGUACUGCAGUUACACUUUGCCUAUCUGGGUCGUGAAAUGUGACACACAACUCAUAUGUAGUUGAAUUAUUUUGUCACUGCAACAAAUUUAGUUGUGCUGAUACUCAAAUUGAAAAGGUUAUUACUGCUUGACCAUUAUAAGGUUAACAUUCACGAUUCAAGGAUUAUCCAGUUGUUCUUUCAAUUCCAUAGAUGAUAUUUGUUGCCACUCUUAUACCUUUGGAAGGAAUGCCUUUGCAUUUGAACUACAAUUAGCUUCGAAGCUCAGCAAGAACUCCAUUCAGGUACAAGGUACCAUGGGCAGUAAAGUCAAGAUUUCUAGGUCGAUAUAAGCUAAAUGGAGAGCUACGACUAUUCAUCAAUUUUUCACAAAACAAUGUACAAAUCACCUAAAAAAGACCUAUCUUGAUGCUGGAGAUGAGAGUACUACAAAGAGGGAAUUGGUGGAGAGCCAAUUGGCCAAGAAGUAGAUUUCGAGUCCAUUAGGAGGUUAAUGAGUUUAUAUAUUGGCCCUUUUUUUGAAUCUGUUAAUGCUUACAUUACAUGAUUUACCAUUCAUAUAUCAUAUAUUGAGUUUAGAAGAAUGAACAAGUAACAAGAAUUUUGCUAAUCUGAGGGCAACUAGGCAGGUUAUCAUUGCCGUUUUAGCUGUAUGUUUACACUCUUACUCUUACCUCAUGCUCAGUUAUUGAAGCUUUAAGUUUCACAUAUAGUGCUUAUUAAUAUAAGCAAAGGGUAUAUGUGAAAUCCAAAGUAUAUAUGAACUUAAACAUUUCUUUGUAUAGACAAACAUGUAUGUAUCAGUAUAUUUAUCAGAUCCACAACAAAGCUGUCCAAGUAGAA
This is an RNA transcript of Solanum dulcamara, 1402 nucleotides long. RefSeq lists it as uncharacterized. Lineage: Eukaryota; Viridiplantae; Streptophyta; Magnoliopsida; Solanales; Solanaceae. The record is from RefSeq and is a predicted model, not a curated record. The transcript is spliced from 8 exons.